RNAcentral lists this long non-coding RNA (621 nucleotides) under Durio zibethinus. RNAcentral describes it as "long non-coding RNA (DZIB_LNC002352)". The record is from RNAcentral. Lineage: Eukaryota; Viridiplantae; Streptophyta; Magnoliopsida; Malvales; Malvaceae.
UCAAAUAUAGUUUUCAUUGUAUAACACUUAAUUAUUACAAAAUUUUAAAAAUAAUUCUCACGACAUAGUACUUAAUUUUUAUCCGAUUGAUAACUGCUCUGAUAUCAUUUAUAAAAAUUCACACUUAACAUACGAAAUAUUAUCUAUUUUUAUUCGAAAAGAAAGCUAGAAGACAGAAAGUUGCUUCAUGAGCCACUCUCCUCUAUACGAUAUCUCUUUAGUAGCAAGAAGAGGGACUACUGGGCUAGGCCGGCAGUUCAACCGCUCGCCCUAAGGCUUCAUUGACGAGGAAUGAAAGCAAAAGGAGGGGCAGCCCCAGCACUCGAAGGAAAAGCAGAACACAAGGCAAAUGGAGAUCUUGAAAGACAAAGGAGAUAAGAGGGAUUGUCCCCAGCCUUUACUUCUUUAUCUACGUACGCUAUUUUACGAUAGGGAUGGGGAAUAGAAAGGGUUCACAAUUUUAACUCACAAAAAGUAUUUUAUAAAUAUUUUUAUUUAAAUCACUAUUUAUAUAUCAUAAUAGAUUUAUAAAAUAUUUUAAUAUAAGAUUGAAAAUUUACACAAAUUAAUAAUAGAAUCAAGAAAAAUAUUAAGCCAGUUAUAUAUAUUUUCCAAUUUUCA